Molecule: ribosomal RNA, 251 nt
Filed under: uncultured bacterium
Lineage: Bacteria
Description: partial 16S ribosomal RNA
Rfam family: Bacterial small subunit ribosomal RNA
Source: RNAcentral
ACGUAGGGGGCAAGCGUUAUCCGGAUUUACUGGGUGUAAAGGGAGCGUAGACGGCGGAGCAAGUCUGAAGUGAAAGCCCGGGGCUCAACCCCGGGACUGCUUUGGAAACUGUUCUGCUAGAGUGCUGGAGAGGUAAGUGGAAUUCCUAGUGUAGCGGUGAAAUGCGUAGAUAUUAGGAGGAACACCAGUGGCGAAGGCGGCUUACUGGACAGUAACUGACGUUGAGGCUCGAAAGCGUGGGGAGCAAACAG